This 1431-nucleotide ribosomal RNA is filed under the name Pristimantis incomptus. Its description in RNAcentral is "partial 16S ribosomal RNA". It matches the Rfam family "Bacterial large subunit ribosomal RNA", at positions 378 to 2592 of the family's 2925-position model. Lineage: Eukaryota; Metazoa; Chordata; Amphibia; Anura; Strabomantidae. The record is from RNAcentral.
GCCAAAAAUUUAGCCNCNAUCCCCCUCUCCCCUUAACCCCACCUUCANCUAAAAUAUUCUAACAAUCUAGUAAAGAAGAUUAAAAAAUUUUUAAGAGCUAUAAAUUUGUACCGCAAGGGAAAAAUGAAAUAAAAAUGAAAUAAAUCUUAAGCACAAUAAAGUAAAGAUUCUCUCUUGUACCUUUUGCAUCAUGGUUUAGCUAGUCUAACUAGGCAAAAAGAUCNUUAAGUCUAACUCCCCGAAACUAAGUGAGCUAAUUUAGGGCUGUUUAAUGAACUAACCCGUCUAUGUUGCAAAAUAGUGGGAAGACCCUAAAAUAGAAGUGAUAAGCCUAUCGAACUUAGUAAUAGCUGGUUUCUCAGGAAAAGAAUUUUAGUUCAGCCUAAAGAAAUUUUUAACCUCACUNAUGUCCCCCCCCCCCUUUUUUUUANAGUAACUCAAACNAGGUACAGCCCGUUUAACUCAGGAUACAACCUUCANUAAUGGGUAAUACUAAAUCCANCAUUUNNUAAGUAGGCCUAANAGCAGCCCCCUUUUAAAAAGNGUCAAAGCUUAACCCUGUUCAUAUUAAUUUUUAAAUUCACAUCGAUCCCUUUAAUUAUACUGAGAAUUUCUAUAAAUUUNAUAGAACUUUUUAUGCUAAAACUAGUAACAAGAGAAAGCCNUCUCCCCNNNAUGCAAGUAUAAGCCAGCAAGAACCCACCACUGGCAAUUAACAGAUUUCUNACAAAAGUAACAACUNGAACUAGAAAAUAUUACUUCCCCCCCCCCACCUGUUACCCUAACACCAGAGCAUUCCAAGAAAGAUUAAAAGAAAAAGAAGGAAUUCGGCAAAUAUUAAUCCCGCCUGUUUACCAAAAACAUCGCCUCUUGACCACNCAUAAGAGGUCCAGCCUGCCCAGUGACUCNUNUUCAACGGCCGCGGUAUUCUAACCGUGCAAAGGUAGCGUAAUCACUUGUUUUCUAAAUAAAGACCAGUAUGAAAGGCACCACGAGGACUAAACUGUCUCCUUUUUCCAAUCGGUGAACCUAAUCCCCCCNUGAAGAAGCGGGGAUAAAAAUAUAAGACGAGAAGACCCUGUGGAGCUUAAAACAUUAAAACAUCUGCCNCCCCCCCCNCCCAAAAACACCGGUUCUUCACCACAUGGNCACUCUGAUUACAUGUUUUNGGUUGGGGUGACCGCGGAGAAAAACUAAUCCUCCACAAUGUAAAGGGGUCUUCCCCNUNAGCAAUGAAUCACAAUUUUAUGCAUCAAAAAAUUGACAUNNAUCGACCCAAUAAAUUNGAUCAAUGAACCAAGUUACCCCAGGGAUAACAGCACAAUCCACUUUGAGAGCUCCUAUCGACAAGUGGGCUUAUGACCUCGAUGUUGGAUCGGGAUAUCCCAGUGGNGCAGCCGCUACUAAAGGUCNNUUUGUUCANCGAUAAAA